Molecule: non-coding RNA, 283 nt
Filed under: marine eukaryotic metagenome
Source: RNAcentral
CGGCAAUACAGUUUGCACUAGCCCCUUACCAAAAGUUUGUGUUCCCACAAUUGUCGCACGACUAUAAUCUUGCAGUGAUCCGGCAACUAUUUCCGAGGCUGACGCCGAGCCGCCGUUGACUAAAACCACCAUUGGAGCACCUCUGAGAAUAUCACCUGGUUCUGCCAUUCUUUCGAAACGAGAGUCAGGUGUUCGGCCCACUGCAGAAACAAUUACACCAUGCUCAAGAAAAAGAUCUGAAACAUCAACCGCCGAAUCUAGCGUGCCACCUGGAUUAUUCCGA